ACGUAGGACCCGAGCGUUGUCCGGAUUUACUGGGUAUAAAGGGUGCGUAGGCGGUCUUGUGCGUCAGAGGUGAAAUCUCCGGGCUUAACCCGGAGGGUGCCUUUGAAACGGCAGGACUUGAGUGCGGGAGAGGGUGAUGGAAUUCCUGGUGUAGCGGUGAAAUGCUUAGAUAUCAGGAGGAACACCGGUGGCGAAGGCGGUCACCUGGCCCGUAACUGACGCUGAGGCACGAAAGCGUGGGGAUCAAACAGGAUUAGAUACCCUGGUAGUCCACGCCCUAAACGAUGUAUGCUUGGUGUUGGGUCCGCAAGGACUCAGUGCCGUAGGGAAUCUGAUAAGCAUACCACCUGGGGAGUACGAUCGCAAGGUUG
This 371-nucleotide ribosomal RNA is filed under the name uncultured bacterium. RNAcentral's name for it is "bacterial SSU rRNA". It matches the Rfam family "Bacterial small subunit ribosomal RNA", at positions 525 to 896 of the family's 1533-position model. The record is from RNAcentral.